CUGCAAGAGAGAAACAGGAGGACAUGGGCUUGUCUUUAAAGCAGGUGUAGACCCAGGUCUGGAAGAGGUCGGGGGCCUGGUUCUACAAAGGGCUCCCCAAGUAUAUCUUGCCCCUGAAGACCCCUGGCCGAGCUGAUGACCCCCACUUCCGACCUUUGCCCACGGAACCAGCAGAGCGAGAGCCCAGAAGCUCCGAGACCAGCCGCAUCUACACGUGGGCCCGAGGAAGAGUGGUUUCCAGCGACAGUGACAGUGACUCGGAUCUUAGCUCCUCCAGCCUAGAGGACGGACUCCCACCCACUGGGGUCAGGGACCGGAAAGGUGACAAACCCUGGAGGGGGUCAGGUGGCAGCGUGGAGGCCCCCAGGAUGGGGUUCACCCACCCGCUGGGCCACCUCUCCGGGAGCCAGAGCAGCCUGGCUGGUGAGACGGGGACGGGCUCCGCCGACCCGCGGUGGGGACCCUGCCCUGUGCUGACCCGAAGGGCCCCGGUAAAAGACACACCUGGACGAGCCCCCGCUGCUGACGCAGCUCCAGCAGGCCCCUCCAGCUGCCUGGGCUGAGGUGUCUGCUGCCUGGAACAGACUUCCC
Molecule: small RNA, 591 nt
Filed under: Pongo abelii (Sumatran orangutan)
Lineage: Eukaryota; Metazoa; Chordata; Mammalia; Primates; Hominidae
Description: processed transcript
Source: RNAcentral